This 859-nucleotide ribosomal RNA is filed under the name uncultured bacterium. RNAcentral describes it as "bacterial SSU rRNA". It matches the Rfam family "Bacterial small subunit ribosomal RNA", at positions 586 to 1453 of the family's 1533-position model. The record is from RNAcentral.
GGUCGGGAGUUAANUCCGGGGGCUCAACCCCCGCUCGCUCUCGAUACCAGCAGACUUGAGUUUGGUAGGGGAAGGUGGAAUUCCUAGUGUAGCGGUGGAAUGCGCAGAUAUUAGGAAGAACACCAGUGGCGAAGGCGGCCUUNUGGGCCAUAACUGACGCUGAGGAGCGAAAGCUAGGGGAGCAAACAGGAUUAGAUACCCUGGUAGUCCUAGCCGUAAACGAUGGACACUAGGUGUGGGGGAGUAUUUCUUCCGUGCCGCAGCCAACGCAUUAAGUGUCCCGCCUGGGGAGUACGGCCGCAAGGCUAAACUCAAAGGAAUUGACGGGGGCCCGCACAAGCAGCGGAGCAUGUGGUUUAAUUCGAAGCAACGCGAAGAACCUUACCAGGGCUUGACAUUUAGGUGAAGCGGCGGAAACGUCGUGGCCGAAAGGAGCCUAAACAGGUGGUGCAUGGCUGUCGUCAGCUCGUGUCGUGAGAUGUUAGGUUAAGUCCUGCAACGAGCGCAACCCUCGUCGUAUGUUGCCAGCGGUUAGGCCGGGCACCCAUACGAGACCGCCGGCGUCAAGCCGGAGGAAGGUGGGGACGACGUCAAGUCAUCAUGCCCCUUAUGUCCUGGGCUACACACGUGCUACAAUGGCCGGCACAAUGGGCUGCCAACCCGCGAGGGUGAGCGAAUCCCUAAAGCCGGUCCCAGUUCGGAUUGGAGGCUGCAACCCGCCUCCAUGAAGUCGUAGUUGCUAGUAAUCGCGGAUCAGCACGCCGCGGUGAAUGCGUUCCCGGGCCUUGUACACACCGCCCGUCACACCACCCGAGUCGAUUGCACCCGAAGUCGUCGACCUAACCUUUUAGGAGGGAGA